CGCCUGAGGUCGGAUGAUGAGGAUGGUCGAAGUGAUUCUGUCGUUGGAGCUCCACCCGAAUACUUACAAAAAUUCCUCACUGAAGUGUUCGAGAUGACAAUGGUCGAAGUGAUUCUGUCAUUGGAGCUCCAUCUGAAUACCUAUAAAAAAUUCUCACUGGAGUAUUCUCUAGUGAAGACCCUCCAACGCUCAAGUCAGGAGACGAAGAACAAUGAGAAGGAGAG
This 224-nucleotide long non-coding RNA is filed under the name Elaeis guineensis (African oil palm). RNAcentral's name for it is "long non-coding RNA (EGUI_LNC062403)". The record is from RNAcentral. Lineage: Eukaryota; Viridiplantae; Streptophyta; Magnoliopsida; Arecales; Arecaceae.